Molecule: long non-coding RNA, 335 nt
Organism: Pipra filicauda (Wire-tailed manakin)
Lineage: Eukaryota; Metazoa; Chordata; Aves; Passeriformes; Pipridae
Exons: 3
Source: RefSeq, a predicted model, not a curated record
CGUCAUUAUUAAACAUUUAAGUACAGCUCUGCAUGCACUCUCAUGAUGAUUUGACAAUAUUUUGCAAGUGAGAGAAGGCCAGCUAGCUGAGAAAGCAGCCUUUCCAAUUUGGACUCCAAUCUAGACAAUAAAAAAGAGAUCCUUAUCCUAUCGUCUACCUGUGUCCUGCUCAGUGCACUAGAAGAACAUAGCUAUAAAAAAUCAGGCAGUUUUAAAGACAUGGUUGCUCAAGGUUGUGCCCAGUGGGGUUGGAAGAUGGAGACACCACAACCUCUCUGACUAAGCUGUUCUAGUAACUAACUGUAAAAAAAAAAAUUUCCUCAUGUUAAAGUGGA